GAUGAACGCUGGCGGUAUGCCCAACACAUGCAAGUCGUACGAGAGUUUUUAACUCUAGUGGCGGACGGGUGAGUAACACGUGAGAAUUUGCCUUUAGGAGGGGGAUAACAAUUGGAAACGAAUGCUAAUACCCCAUAUGCUUUUGAGUGAAACGGAUUUAUCCGCCUAGAGAGAAGCUCGCGGCUGAUUAGCUUGUUGGUGAGGUAAUGGCUCACCAGGGCGACGAUCAGUAUCUGGUUUGAGAGGAUGAUCAGACACACUGGAACUGAGACACGGUCCAGACUCCUACGGGAGGCAGCAGUGGGGAAUUUUCCGCAAUGGGCGAAAGCCUGACGGAGCAAUACCGCGUGAGGGAUGACGGCCUAUGGGUUGUAAACCUCUUUUUUCAGGGAGGAAUAAAAUGACGUGUACCUGAAGAAUAAGCAUCGGCUAACUCCGUG
This 440-nucleotide ribosomal RNA is filed under the name uncultured bacterium. RNAcentral's name for it is "bacterial SSU rRNA". It matches the Rfam family "Bacterial small subunit ribosomal RNA", at positions 28 to 507 of the family's 1533-position model. The record is from RNAcentral.